RNAcentral lists this ribosomal RNA (279 nucleotides) under uncultured bacterium. RNAcentral's name for it is "partial 16S ribosomal RNA". It matches the Rfam family "Bacterial small subunit ribosomal RNA", at positions 506 to 784 of the family's 1533-position model. The record is from RNAcentral.
UGCCAGCCGCCGCGGUAAUACGGAGGGAGCUAGCGUUGUUCGGAAUUACUGGGCGUAAAGCGCACGUAGGCGGAUUUGUUAGUCAGAGGUGAAAUCCCGGGGCUCAACCUCGGAACUGCCUUUGAUACUGCAAGUCUAGAGACCGAGAGAGGUGAGUGGAAUUUCCAGUGUAGAGGUGAAAUUCGUAGAUAUUACACAGAACACCGAUAGCGAAGGCAGCUUACUAGACUAUUAUUGACGCUCAUGAACGAAAGCGUGGGGAGCGAACAGGAUUAGAUA